GGCACUCUCUUUACUUGUAUAUUCAUCCUUACACUAUGAACAAAGAAAUUACAUUGUUACGAUUCUCUUUUAUGCCACGUUCACUGACUUACAAGUUAAUAAAUAAAAAACCAAAAGACACGAUCAUUAGCAAAACAUUUAAAACAUACCUGUUCAUAUUCUUUCCAAUUGUCAACAGUAAUGUCAUCGGUAAGUAUAAGAUCUUCGUCUAUUAUAAUUUUUCGAUCUUCCAGCACGAAUUUGAUCUCCGUAAAAAUUUCUUUGCCCAUAGCAAUGGAGACGUCAGAUAUAAUUGUAGAUGGUGUGUUUGUUAACAGAAUGUCUGCUUCUUACAAUAAAUAAGAGCAUUUGUUAAAGCAUUUUUCAUCU
This 369-nucleotide long non-coding RNA is filed under the name Androctonus crassicauda. Lineage: Eukaryota; Metazoa; Arthropoda; Arachnida; Scorpiones; Buthidae. The record is from RNAcentral.